CGUAACAUGGUUCUGCGUUGUCCGGCUUAUUCCGGUUAUUCGUGUUAACAGCUAGUCAGCGACGGUGGAAGUCACAGCGACAGUUGAAGCUUCAAACCGUAUAAAACUUUUAUCUUGGUUUUUUUUUUUUCGAGGAUUUACUCUGUUUCUUAAGGUACGACACUGACCAACGAAGAUAUGGUUAAAACCCAGCAGAGUCGUCUUGGCGAGGGAAUGCGUCUGGUUUUUGACCAGGAAUCCUCAGUGAUGUCCAGAUCUUCACGGAGCAGGAGCAGCAGCAGCAGCAGCAGCAGUAGUAGUAGCAGUAGUGAUAGUGGUAGUUCUUACUCCAGCGGUGAUCGAAGUAGAUCCCCGUCUGUGUCGCGCAGGUCACGGAGACGACACCGCCACGGAUCACGCUACUCUUCGUCUUCAAGCAGCAGCUCCCACUCUCGUUCACGUUCUCGUCCGCGCUGCUGCCGAGCUUCAGAUCGUUCCCGUUGCCGCCGUCAUCGCCAUAGAUCUUGCUCUUGCAGCCCCUAUCCCAGGCGCUCAUCCCGUUACGGGCGAAGGAGAUACUCGCGCUCUAACAGCCGCUCUUCUUCCCGGGACCGUUAUUACAGGAGGUCAAGGAGGUCCCGCUCUCGCUCCUCAAGCUACAGGAGAACAAGAGGUGCCUACAUUGGCAAGUUCAGGUGCCGAUUCUCCCCUUCACCUGUGAGGAGAUAUUACAGGCGCAGGUCGAAAUCUCCAGAGCGGUCCGUUCGGCUUAGUCAGAAAGACAAAAUGGAUCUUCUGAAUAUUGCCAGAGAGAAUGCAUCGAAGAUUCUGGGAGUAGAGGUGGUGACGCUGCCUGCCAGCGUGAGGUGUAUUGAGGAACAAGUGGAAAAGACGUUAGGGUCCGACACAGAGAAAAGGGUGAGAGCAGCCCCGGUGCCGCCGCAGGUGAGUGCCGUAUGCGCAAACGUGCUCGUUCCUAUCAACGGGAAUCAGUGACGUACUGCAAUGUCUGCCACUUUUCCAUCUGAAAAUGGGAAAAGAGCCUUUGCUCUUAUUAACAGAUGUGAUUAAAACGUGCUAAAUUAUAUAGGCCUCUACCUCACAUUUGAGAGAGGCUGUUUCAUCUUUGGCUAGGAUUUGAUCUUAGUGUCAUAUAGUCCUGUCUUAAAACAACUUGGGUCAUCGUGUAAAUUAUCUCCUCAGACCUGAUUGUUUUUGCCGAUGGAUGUAAUGGAAUCGUGAAGAAGACAAAAAAUAUAGACCACCUACAUACUGUCUGGUCUGGAUUAGAUCACAUGACAGUGGUCUGCACUCCUCCACCGUUUGGAGUAGGAGAAAGAGGUGGAAUAUCAUUUCACUUGAGAGACGCCAUUUUUCAAGACGGUUUAAAAUCUUGUAAUGUGCAAAGGUCAAGUAACGACAGUGCAAAUAUCGUUAGUCCUAGACUUUCCUCAUGUACCAUAUUGACUGAUACAGCACUUGAAGGUUUUUCAUAUUGUACUUAGUAAGAGGCGGGUGAUCCUGUCUCCGAGCACAUACCUUUAUCAAUAGGACUUUAAUGUGAGCUUGUUGAUGGUUCAACUGGGUGCGUUGUUAUUUACCCCAGAGACUUCCUCGGUUCUGUGUGUCUGAAGAACCUCAGGCGUACGGACCGGCUAUUAGGGGGCCUUUAAUCAGAAGCACCCUCGUAUACCAAAGACAAGUCUGCGCACAUAGCGCUGGAUCUGGGUUUGGCAAAAAAAAAAAUUACAUUUAUUGCAUCUUUAUUUAGGAUUGUUUGCUUUAUUUUAUGAACUCUGCUUUUAUACCUUUUUGUUUACUUUCUCUCUAACUGCAGCACAAGCGCUUGGGAGAGAUGGGUAGAAACAUAUGCACUACAAUGCCAAAGUCACUAUAAGUAGACUUGGUUUCCUUGUUUCUUAAUGCAUGUAAAACGUUUAGUUAGAAAAGAAC
RNA transcript from Ictalurus punctatus (channel catfish), 1932 nucleotides. It is a transcript of the gene named arginine/serine-rich protein 1, with no coding region annotated. The transcript is spliced from 4 exons. The record is from RefSeq and is a predicted model, not a curated record. Lineage: Eukaryota; Metazoa; Chordata; Actinopteri; Siluriformes; Ictaluridae.